RNAcentral lists this ribosomal RNA (490 nucleotides) under uncultured soil bacterium. RNAcentral describes it as "bacterial SSU rRNA". It matches the Rfam family "Bacterial small subunit ribosomal RNA", at positions 26 to 518 of the family's 1533-position model. The record is from RNAcentral.
AGAACGAACGCUGGCGGCAUGCCUAACACAUGCAAGUCGAACGAGACCUUCGGGUAUAGUGGCGGACGGGUGAGUAACACGUAGUCAACCUACCCUAAAGUGGGGAAUAACCCCUCGAAAGAGGAGCUAAUACCGCAUACGCUCUCUUAUGACAGUAGGAGAGGAAACGAUAGCUGUGAAAAGCUAUGGGCUUAAGGAUGGGACUGCGGCGGAUUAGCUAGAUGGUGGGUAACGGCCUACCAUGGCGACGAUCCGUAGCUGGUCUGAGAGGACGACCAGCCACACUGGGACUGAGACACGGCCCAGACUCCUACGGGAGGCAGCAGUGAGGAAUAUUCACAAUGGGCGCAAGCCUGAUGGAGCGACGCCGCGUGGGGGGAAGAAGCCUUUCGGGGUGUAAAACCUCUUUUCUUCGGGAUGAUACGUACCCUUCGGGUACUAAGACAGUACCGAAGGAAUAAGCAUCGGCUAACUACGUGCCAGCAGCCGC